AUCCAGCCCACAGCUGAAGCUUCUAAGGGAAGAGAGAAAGUGGACAGCGAGUUGCUAUCUACAGAUCUCAGCUUCUGGCCAGCCCAGAACCGAGCUGUGUGCUGAGGACUCAGGGGUCAUGGAGUCAAGGCCUGCACAGCCCAAGUCUCCCCCAACAUCAAGGCCACCUCACAGCACAUGCAGACAUUUUAUUUUGAGCAACUGUAAACCCACAGGAAAUUUAAAACAUUAGCACAAAUGUGUCCAUCAUCUGGAUUCACCAAUGAACCUUUUGC
RNAcentral lists this long non-coding RNA (275 nucleotides) under Fukomys damarensis (Damara mole-rat). RNAcentral describes it as "lncRNA (ENSFDAG00000023748.1)". The record is from RNAcentral. Lineage: Eukaryota; Metazoa; Chordata; Mammalia; Rodentia; Bathyergidae.